GGCCGAACGCUGGCGGCGUGCUUAACACAUGCAAGUCGAACGGUGAAGCGCCUUCCUUUUUGGUGGGUGUGGAUGAGUGGCGAACGGGUGAGUAACACGUGAGUAACCUGCCCCCUUCUUCUGGAUAACCGCAUGAAAGUGUGGCUAAUACGGGAUAUUCUGGGUCUGUCGCAUGAUGGGUCUGGGAAAGAUAUUGUUUCGGUGGGGGAUGGGCUCGCGGCCUAUCAGCUUGUUGGUGGGGUGAUGGCCUACCAAGGCGGUGACGGGUAGCCGGCCUGAGAGGGUGGACGGUCACACUGGGACUGAGACACGGCCCAGACUCCUACGCGAGGCAGCAGUGGGGAAUAUUGCACAAUGGGCGCAAGCCUGAUGCAGCGACGCCGCGUGAGGGAUGGAGGCCUUCGGGUUGUGAACCUCUUUCGCCAGUGAAGCAGGCCUGCCUCGUUUGUGGGUGGGUUGACGGUAGCUGGAUAAGAAGCGCCGGCUAACUACGUG
RNAcentral lists this ribosomal RNA (495 nucleotides) under uncultured bacterium. Its description in RNAcentral is "partial 16S ribosomal RNA". It matches the Rfam family "Bacterial small subunit ribosomal RNA", at positions 27 to 507 of the family's 1533-position model. The record is from RNAcentral.